GUCACAGAAGGGGGUGAGAAGUGGGAAGAGGGGAUUUGCAUAGAACCUCCAAUUUUCCUUAUUUCCUAGGGAGUUGAUGAUUUCAGCCAAAUAUAAGUCUUAACGUUACAUCUGCAAUGGAAAAACAAGUCAAACUCAGCAAAAAGGAGCCCUGAAGAGACAGAGUUAAGUGCUUCCGUGAUGAGAGUAGAGUUGGCCUAUGCUGUCCCUCCCAGGACUCCUUUACCCAAGAGAAAGAGAGAGUGUGCAUCCAAAGGGGAGUGAAAAUAGAAUAUAAAUAGGGAAAAUAGAACCAUUCAGAGCAGUUCAGGGAUCUUUACUACUCUGACAUGGAAGGAAGAAGGAGGAGAAGAGAAAAGAUGAACGGACCUUGAACCUGGGAUAUCGCUCAUGUGACUGCUACAUUGGUAUUAAGAUACAGCAUUCAUGUGCCCUGGAAUGUUUUGUUCUAUUAGGUGCUACACCCAGUAGAACAGUGCUCCAUCCAAUGCAAUUUUCUGGAAUUUAAACAAUCCAGACCAGAAUUUUUCCUCCUUGGAGAUGGAAUGUCUUGCUCCAGAGGGAGGAGGAAGAAGAGAAAAGAGAAGUCUCAACCAGCCUCCUCUCUACCCCACACAGAGAAUAGAGAUGCAAAACUUCUCCCAUAGAGUGUUUCAGCUUCUUCCUCGUUCCUCUUGCUUCUUUUCUCUUGGGAUAAUGACUUGGGUUUGGCCAGUAUGUAAAGUUGACUUGUGGUACCUCUGGCUCUUCUCCAGGGGUGCUCACAGAAAUAACUACAGUGGACUAGAAUGAGAUGCUUGAAACCUUCCCCCGAGCCUAGCUCUGCAUUUAGGAGAACAGCACAGCGCACCAUGAUCUGAUAUAGGUAUAGGUGGGUGGGAGUCUCAGUCUGUAGUUCUAUAUCACCUAUUAAGAGACUGGAACCUGGUCCCAUGUUUUCUGCAGGAGGUUGAGCUCUUAACAAUGUGCCAAGCCAGCAGCUGUGCCCUAGAGUCUUGGCCUAAGACAAGCAAAUAAUUGUCAGAUGACUGAAUAGUUCUGUUUCCUUAUUAAAUCUUAGGUUUAGAAUUCCUUUCACAAUUAAAAAGAUUUGGACAACAACUUUAUAGGGCCAAUUCUUUUUAUUCCAGGUUAUCACAACAUCCUCAAAGAAAAAUGCAUCAUGAAUGGUCUUCAUACCAUCUAACAGAUCCAGUUUACCCUCAUUCCUGUGGCUUUGUUCUGGCUGCUACCUUCACUUGGCAUAUUUCUCCUCCCCUUCACCCUUCAAACCAUGUUUUCUUUCAAGGUCCCCUCAACCCUAAUGUGCACUGUGUCUUUCUGUCCACUCAAGUCCUGGCUGAUCUCUCCCUAUUCACACUUAUGCCACUAUUCUUUUCAGCUCUACCCAUGUGGCGCUUGCCAGAUGAUGUUACCUUUUUUGCUUUGGGAAUUUUGCUUUCCCAACUACAGCACAAGUAGGAGUGGUGUCUUGUAGUACUUUGUGUCUUUCUUCAUGUUUCAGAUGAGUGUUUUCCAUAGAGUGGAGCUCAAUUCCUAUUUCAGAUUUGAGCCAUCAAUGCUGGGCAAUUUCUUCCCAGGUAAAAUGAAGGCAAUACUAAAAUCUACCUCCAGAUGGGACUGUGAGGACCAGAUGAGAUGCUGUUUUAAAGCCCCGAGACCCCAGCACACAGUAGGUCUUCAAUAGAAUUUCUGCAUCUCUGGAGAUCUAUGGGAUGGCUCUGGGCUCCAGAUUGCAGCGAUCACUGUGGAGCAGCAACCAUCUCUCCAUCCUGGCUCCAUUGAGCUUCUGCUUCUGUCAUAUCUGCGCUCCCCAUUGGCACUGCCCGCCUGGCGCUCACCCAGUCUGGUCUGACACUUGCUGCUGAGGAUGGGGCGGGGACCCAGGCAGGCUUCCAAUUCUUUCAUGAGCUGGGUGCUGCCUGAAGCCAGUGAACUGUGAAGCCCUGUUGUAAAGGCUUCAGAGGGCCCCAGCAUGGCGGGGUGGGGGCACCGAGCCACGG
Molecule: long non-coding RNA, 2003 nt
Filed under: Homo sapiens (human)
Lineage: Eukaryota; Metazoa; Chordata; Mammalia; Primates; Hominidae
Description: HSALNT0345796
Source: RNAcentral